RNAcentral lists this ribosomal RNA (230 nucleotides) under uncultured bacterium. RNAcentral describes it as "partial 16S ribosomal RNA". It matches the Rfam family "Bacterial small subunit ribosomal RNA", at positions 562 to 791 of the family's 1533-position model. The record is from RNAcentral.
AAAGCGUGCGCAGGCGGUAAUGUAAGACAGAUGUGAAAUCCCCGGGCUCAACCUGGGAACUGCAUUUGUGACUGCAUUGCUGGAGUGCGGCAGAGGGGGAUGGAAUUCCGCGUGUAGCAGUGAAAUGCGUAGAUAUGCGGAGGAACACCGAUGGCGAAGGCAAUCCCCUGGGCCUGCACUGACGCUCAUGCACGAAAGCGUGGGGAGCAAACAGGAUUAGAUACCCGAGU